Non-coding RNA from Rattus norvegicus (Norway rat), 69 nucleotides. The record is from Rfam. Lineage: Eukaryota; Metazoa; Chordata; Mammalia; Rodentia; Muridae.
GGGGAUUUAGCUCAGUGGUAGAGCGCUUGCCUAGCAAGCAGAAGGCCCUGGAUUCGGUCCCCAGCUCCG